Molecule: ribosomal RNA, 582 nt
Filed under: uncultured Gammaproteobacteria bacterium
Lineage: Bacteria; Pseudomonadati; Pseudomonadota; Gammaproteobacteria
Description: bacterial SSU rRNA
Rfam family: Bacterial small subunit ribosomal RNA
Source: RNAcentral
ACGGGUGAGUAAUAUUCGGGUAUCUGCCUGGCAGAGGGGGAUAGCCACUGGAAACGGUGGGUAAUACCGCAUAAGGUCUGAGGACCAAAGCCGGGGACUGGGUACGUGUACUGAGCCUGGCGCUGCCGGAGGGGCCCGGACGGGAUUAGCUGGUAGGUGGGGUAAGGGCUCACCUAGGCGACGAUCUCUAGCUGGUCUGAGAGGAUGUCCAGCCACACUGGAACUGAGAGACGGUCCAGACUCCUGCGGGAGGCAGCAGUGGGGAAUAUUGCACAAUGGGGGAAACCCUGAUGCAGCCAUGCCGCGUGUAUGAAGAAGGCCUUUGGGUUGUAAAGUACUUUCGUCGGGGAGGAAGGGCGCUACGUUAAGAGCGGGGUGUUCAGACGUUACCCGAAGAAGAAGCACCGGCUAACUCCGUGCCAGCAGCCGCGGUAAUACGGAGGGUGCGAGCGUUAAUCGGAAUGACUGGGCGUAAAGGGCGCGUAGGCGGGACGACAAGUCAGUGGUAAAAGUUCCGGGCUCAACCCGGGGACGUCCAUUGAAACGGUUGUUCUUGAGUUUCACAGAGGGAGGCGGAAUUCC